AAGCGGCAUAAGGAGGUCCUAACACUUGGCUUUUGGGCAGAUUAUCUCCUUGAUUGUGAAGAGAAGGCAACAGCAGUGUGUCUGGAAGAUUUGAUGAUGUUUGCCACAGGGCUGACGGCAGUUCCACCGGCAGGAAUGACACCACCACCACGCAUCCAGUUUUUAAGUGUUUCGCCUUUUCCAGUUUCAAACACCUGUGCAAAUACUCUGAAGCUACCCAUCUGUGACUCAUACAGCAUCUUUAAGGCCAACAUGGACUUUGGAAUUCAAAAUGCUCCAGGAUUUGGAUGUUCUUAAAUCAGCAAGGUCAUCAAGUUACAGUUACUGAGUUACCCUGAUAGUUUCAGCUGCCGUUGGCAUACUACUUAACACAUUUAUGUGACAAGCAACUUCCAUAUUGUUAAACAUUUAGUUGUUUUUCUGAAUAUUGUGUAUGUUGGAAAAGUGACAGAAAUGCUGGACACUAUUUGUAAAUGGUUUUAUUAAAGAACAUUUUAAAUGUUU
This is a long non-coding RNA of Oreochromis aureus, 504 nucleotides long. RefSeq lists it as uncharacterized. The transcript is spliced from 2 exons. NCBI's taxonomy places the organism in Eukaryota, Metazoa, Chordata, Actinopteri, Cichliformes, Cichlidae. The record is from RefSeq and is a predicted model, not a curated record.